RNAcentral lists this ribosomal RNA (465 nucleotides) under uncultured bacterium. RNAcentral describes it as "bacterial SSU rRNA". It matches the Rfam family "Bacterial small subunit ribosomal RNA", at positions 38 to 518 of the family's 1533-position model. The record is from RNAcentral.
GGCGGCGUGCCUAACAACAUGCAAGUCGAGCGAGGAGAUUCCUUCGGGAUGAUCCUAGCGGCGGACGGGUGAGUAACACGUGGGCAACCUGCCUCAUAGAGAGGAAUAGCCUUCCGAAAGGGAGAUUAAUACCUCAUAACAUUGCAGUUUCGCAUGGAACAGCAAUUAAAGGAGCAAUCCGCUAUGAGAUGGGCCCGCGGCGCAUUAGCUAGUUGGUGAGGUAACGGCUCACCAAGGCGACGAUGCGUAGCCGACCUGAGAGGGUGAUCGGCCACAUUGGGACUGAGACACGGCCCAGACUCCUACGGGAGGCAGCAGUGGGGAAUAUUGCACAAUGGGGGAAACCCUGAUGCAGCCAACGCCGCGUGAGUGAUGACGGCCUUCGGGUUGUAAAGCUCUGUCUUCAGGGACGAUAAUGACGGUACCUGAGGAGGAAGCCACGGCUAACUACGUGCCAGCAGCAGC